Long non-coding RNA from Alligator mississippiensis (American alligator), 1097 nucleotides. RefSeq lists it as uncharacterized. The transcript has 3 exons. NCBI's taxonomy places the organism in Eukaryota, Metazoa, Chordata, Crocodylia, Alligatoridae. The record is from RefSeq and is a predicted model, not a curated record.
GCCAGCAGCCAAGGGGGAAGGAGCUCUCCCAGAGCAAGCAAAGGGGAGAGGCCUGACUGCAGGCAGACCCUUCCCUGGCUCGGCACUCACCCAGACCACGCUCAUCUACUCCUUCUGGAUAUCACUUCAGCUCCUGCAGCUUCAGUGAGUACCAGGCUCUGAUGUUGCUUAGUUCAUUGCUUCUGCUUCUCUCUUCAUCACGGCACCAUCUUCAGCUGGCCCCUGCCCUUAGGGGCAAACUGCCUCUUCCCCUGUCUGCCUUUUACCUCCUGGCUCCUCCUCCAGUAACCAAUCUGCCUGAUCCCUGCUUCUACGUGAGGUCCUGCUGGGAUCUGGCCAGGGCUUCAUUGGGAAUACCUGGGCUCCCGGUGCCCAACAUCAUUCUGCUUUUCCCACUUUGGUCUGGCUGCAGUCUACUCAUGUUUUGAAUCUUGGAUGUUGUCAGCAAAGAGAAAAUAAGAUGCAAGUGAAGGACAAAGGUUAUCCUGGAAAAUGUCCAGAUAUAGUUUCUAGUACAGACAUACACGGGAUAUAUAGAAGUCACUUUAUUAAAGUCAACUUGCUGCAUAUGAAGACAGCAACCACUGAAGUGGCUGAAAAAGGCACCUGGUUACAAUCAAGGACAUGCUCCUGCUAGCAGGAUCCAACAAAAAUAAUGUCAUAAGAAUCUGUCACAGUCUCACUCCUCUGAGUGCACCAUGUUAUUAAAAUAUUAUGAAAUUGUAAUAAUUUCUCUAAGACCACCUGAUUUUGUUUUUUUUUUCCCCCUUCUCCUAACCUCCAUGUCUCUUAUUAAGUAGAAGCUCUUGAGAAUAAUAAUUGUUUAACACUGUGAGUGAAGAAUAGAUAGAUAGAUAUCAAUAUUAUCUAUCUAUUAUUGUCUAUAAACACACAUUUAGUUCUCACCUGUGCUGGGAAAUGAUUAAGGAAGUUCAGUAGCUGGUACCCUGAGUCACUAAUUUGGUAAUAUGCUGCCCUAAUUAUACCAUGUAAUGAAGACUGUUGCACACGCAAUAAAUCUAGCAACCAAAGCUCUACAGGUCCUUUUGCAUUCACUGGAGUAUCCAGCUGAAAAAUUAAAUACACGUUAAGCAUAU